RNAcentral lists this ribosomal RNA (549 nucleotides) under uncultured bacterium. RNAcentral describes it as "partial 16S ribosomal RNA". The record is from RNAcentral.
UAACCUUGCGGCCGUACUCCCCAGGCGGUCAACUUAAUGCGUUAGCUGCGCCACUAAGAGUUCAAGACUCCCAGCGGCUAGUUGACAUCGUUUACGGCGUGGACUACCAGGGUAUCUAAUCCUGUUUGCUCCCCACGCUUUCGCACCUCAGUGUCAGUACCAGUCCAGGUAGUCGCCUUCGCCACUGGUGUUCCUUCCUAUAUCUACGCAUUUCACCGCUACACAGGAAAUUCCACUACCCUCUACCGUACUCUAGCUCAGCAGUUUUGGAUGCAGUUCCCAGGUUGAGCCCGGGGAUUUCACAUCCAACUUACUGAACCACCUACGCGCGCUUUACGCCCAGUAAUUCCGAUUAACGCUUGCACCCUUCGUAUUACCGCGGCUGCUGGCACGAAGUUAGCCGGUGCUUAUUCUGUCGGUAACGUCAAAGUAGCAACGUAUUAAGUUACUACCCUUCCUCCCAACUUAAAGUGCUUUACAAUCCGAAGACCUUCUUCACACACGCGGCAUGGCUGGAUCAGGCUUUCGCCCAUUGUCCAAUAUUCCCCA